RNAcentral lists this non-coding RNA (73 nucleotides) under Erwinia mallotivora. RNAcentral's name for it is "Fluoride sequence". It matches the Rfam family "Fluoride riboswitch aptamer (crcB RNA motif)". Lineage: Bacteria; Pseudomonadati; Pseudomonadota; Gammaproteobacteria; Enterobacterales; Erwiniaceae. The record is from Rfam by way of RNAcentral.
GUUGCGCAAGGUGAUGGUGUUCCACCUUUCCCAACCGCCCCGCCUGGCCGGGGCUGAUGACGCCUGAUAUCGC